UCUUCCGUGGCGCAAUUGGCUAGCGCGUUCGACUGUUAAGAUUUCGUAAGAUAUCUGGCUAUCGAGAGGUUGACAGUUCAAGCCUGUCCGGGAGAG
RNAcentral lists this transfer RNA (96 nucleotides) under Aureobasidium pullulans. RNAcentral's name for it is "tRNA-Asn". It matches the Rfam family "tRNA". From Rfam's summary of the family: Transfer RNA (tRNA) molecules are approximately 80 nucleotides in length. RNAcentral also lists the same sequence under 1 other name. Lineage: Eukaryota; Fungi; Ascomycota; Dothideomycetes; Dothideales; Saccotheciaceae. The record is from RNAcentral.